This is a small nuclear RNA of Jaculus jaculus (lesser Egyptian jerboa), 105 nucleotides long. NCBI's taxonomy places the organism in Eukaryota, Metazoa, Chordata, Mammalia, Rodentia, Dipodidae. The record is from Ensembl.
GUUCACUUUGUCAGAACAUAUACAAAACUUGGAAUGAUACAGAGAAGAUUAUCAUGGCCCCUGGGAAAGGAUGGCAUGCAAAUUCAUGAAGCAUUAUAUAUUUUA